UGGGGAAUAUUGGACAAUGGGGGCAACCCUGAUCCAGCAAUGCCGCGUGUGUGAAGAGGGUCUUCGGAUUGUAAAGCACUUUCGACGGGGACGAUGAUGACGGUACCCGUAGAAGAAGCCCCGGCUAACUUCGUGCCAGCAGCCGCGGUAAUACGAAGGGGGCUAGCGUUGCUCGGAAUGACUGGGCGUAAAGGGCGUGUAGGCGGUUUACACAGUCAGAUGUGAAAUCCCCGGGCUUAACCUGGGAGCUGCAUUUGAUACGUGUAGACUAGAGUGUGAGAGAGGGUUGUGGAAUUCCCAGUGUAGAGGUGAAAUUCGUAGAUAUUGGGAAGAACACCGGUGGCGAAGGCGGCAACCUGGCUCAUGGCUGACGCUGAGGCGCGAAAGCGUGGGGAGCAAACAGGAUUAGAUACCCUGGUAGUCCACGCUGUAAACGAUGUGUGCUAGAUGUUGGGUAACUUUGUUAUUCAGUGUCGCAGUUAACGCGUUAAAGCACACCGCCUGGGGAGUAC
Molecule: ribosomal RNA, 512 nt
Filed under: uncultured bacterium
Lineage: Bacteria
Description: partial 16S ribosomal RNA
Rfam family: Bacterial small subunit ribosomal RNA
Source: RNAcentral